UCAGGCCCCUCUACCUGUUGCUCUGCAUUUCUGGAGCGAGCUCCUGUUUGCACGGUCCGCACACCUCACACCUACACUGCUCAUGCUCCUGCACCAGCGGGAGGAGGUGAAAGAGGAAAGGCACAGCCAGGCGCCACGCACAGCCUGCUCAUUCGGACUCCGUUGGCUGGAACUUGAUCACGUGGUCACAACCUGCUGCAAAGAAACAAAAGAUAAGCAGACAAUCCUAGAAGCUUUUGGAGACUGAAAAAGUCACACCAUGAGGAUCGAGAAUCAGAAUGGCAUCGGACUGCUUAACAUCAACCUAGAACACCACAUGCCAAUAGAGAACUGCCUUCAGAACUCUGAGGGGAGAUGAUUUCCAACUGAGAUUUAUACCUCCAGCCAAACUGUCAAUCAAUUAUCCAAAAACUGAACUCCCAUAUGCAGCCUCCAAGGAAGCUACUGGCGUGUAUAUUACAACAAAAUGAAGGGAGUAAAGCAAGAAAGAAGAUGACUUAGUAUCUAAGAAACAAGGCACCGACACAGGACAGAGGGAAAGGGAAUUCCCAGUGUAACGUUGAAGAGAAAUUUCACAACUUCUACUACAAUGGCCAGGAGAGCAACUGAUCCAGGUAGAAGCAGGAGGGCUCAAAGAAAAAAAACAGAACUGAUAGGUUGCCAGAUGUGUUUGACUAUAUUACGAGAAAUUUUAGAGUUUUAUUGUCACGGUUUGUGGGAAGAAUUAGUAAUCUUACAUCAAAAACUAAUUAAAUUUAAAAACUGAGGUACUUACUAACUCCAGGGAAAACAAAAAGCUGUACAAGACUGCAACUGUAACCAUAAUAUAGUCCCUUGUUUAGCUGUGAAUAAUCUAUAUGUAGAUAUGAUACGGUAACAACUGAGUGUUGAUUUAGCAACUGUGAUAGGACUAUCUUGGAAGAAAAAGUGUGUGUUUGUGGAUGGUGGCUGGUGGAGAACCAGCAAUCUUCCACAGGAGGAAGCCAAUACAUAAUAUUUGAAAAAUACAUCUAGAGAACGAUAUUUAGAAAUAUGAAAGGAAAUGUCAGAAG
Molecule: long non-coding RNA, 1052 nt
Filed under: Homo sapiens (human)
Lineage: Eukaryota; Metazoa; Chordata; Mammalia; Primates; Hominidae
Description: HSALNT0038904
Source: RNAcentral